This is a non-coding RNA of Paramuricea clavata, 1011 nucleotides long. The record is from the annotation of a GenBank genome assembly. NCBI's taxonomy places the organism in Eukaryota, Metazoa, Cnidaria, Anthozoa, Malacalcyonacea, Plexauridae.
GAGGUCUUUUUAGCAACAUUAAAAAUAGCUUAUACGCGAAAUUUAAAAGUUUAAAACGCAUUUUGAGUUUAUGAGCGAGAAAUUUGUUAUGUGUUUUAUCAAUGGUUCAAAUAUCAGAAAAUUUACUCAAUUUUCAGUCUUUAAAUAGUUGCUGAAACUUUCAUUUUUUUGCACCAAUACGAUACACGCAAGCUUAAUUCGUGCAUUUACCUUUUUUCCAUAAUAUUAUUGUAAAAAAAGUAAAAUAACAGUAUGCAAAUUAGGUAAAUGCAUGAAGUAUAUAAGCAUGCGUGAUAGACAUUGGUCCCCAAAAAUGAAAGUUUCAGUCGCUAUAUAAGAAUUGACUUAGAAUUGAGUAAAUUUUCUGAGAUUUGGACCAUUGACAAAACACAAUUUAUAACAAAUUUCUCGCCCAUGAAUUCAAAAUACGUUUAAAACUUUUAAAUUUCGGGCGCAAGCUAUUUUUAAUGCUAGAAAAGCCGCCCCCCUCCCCUGCUCUGGAAAAAUUUAUCUUUGCCUAAUCUAUAUUAUAAGUACCUAAAAAUUUAUAUUUAUCAAAAAAUUCAUGAAAUGAACGGAUUUGUGAAAUUGAGAGCCGUUUCAAAAUUGUCUACUUUUUAUACAGCCUGUAUUUCAACCGUGCCUUUGCAAAGAACUUUCCAUCUUACAAUUAUGAAAUCUGAAAAAAAUAUUGGGAAGUCGGCAACUCAAAUCGACAUGACAUUUUUAGCAAGGGAGGCCUCCUGAGCUCACAACAAGGGGAUUCAACCACAAUGCAAUCACCUCCACAGUCAUGGAUGAUCUACAGUUGCGACGUUGCCGGUUAUACAUGUUGAAACAGUCGUUCGUGAGAAGCGUGAUGUAAGAACAUGCGCACAAUACUGUCUUAAAUAGAGAUUGUCAUCUUCAACAACCUAUCUAGACCUUGUUGGUCGAUGACGUCAUCCCUCGAGACAACGAAGAACUGCGACUUUAGGUGACCAUGCAUACCGAAGUGUCGUUGAGCAGAGG